Peromyscus maniculatus bairdii (prairie deer mouse) is the source of this 299-nucleotide non-coding RNA. NCBI's taxonomy places the organism in Eukaryota, Metazoa, Chordata, Mammalia, Rodentia, Cricetidae. The record is from RefSeq and is a predicted model, not a curated record.
GUGGGUGGGAGAGAACAGAGAAGGGAAGAUUGAGGUCUGUGUCUGGCUUUUUAAGGAGCAGGUAGGCUUACAGAGCUACGCCAGGCAUGAGCUAAUUGAGUGACCAUGUCACGCGAAGGUAGUCACCAGUGCACACUGAUGAUAUAAGAUGCAAGAUCCUUUGCCCAGCUCCUGAACUGCACAUGUGUGGUCAUGUAGCUGGAGUAAGGGCAGAAUUUUAACAUUCUAGACUUUUUGUUUAUUAUAAAAAAAAAAGUGAGACUAAACAAACAGGAACUAUAGAUGCAAGCAUAACCAAC